CCUACGGGUGGCAGCAGUAGGGAAUAUUGCACAAUGGAGGAAACCCUGAUGCAGCGACGUCGCGUGAGUGAUGAAGUAUUUCGGUAUGUAAAGCUCUAUCAGCAGGGAAGAAAAUGACGGUACCUGACUAAGAAGCCCCUGCGAACUACGUGCCAGCAGCCGAGGGAAUACGUAGGGGGCAAGCGUUCGCCGGAUUUACUGGGGGUAAAGGGAGCGUAGACGGGGGUGCAAGCCAGAUGUGAAAGCCCGGGGCUCAACCCCGGGACUGCAUUUGAAACUGUGCUGCUAGAGUGUCGGAGAGGAAGGUGGAAUUCCUGGUGUAGCGGUGAAAUGCGUAGAUAUUAGGAGGAACACCAGUGGCGAAGGCGGCUCUCUGGACGAUGACUGACGCUGAGGCUCGAAAGCGUGGGGAGCAAACAGGAUUAGAUACCCGGGUAGUC
This 440-nucleotide ribosomal RNA is filed under the name uncultured bacterium. RNAcentral's name for it is "partial 16S ribosomal RNA". It matches the Rfam family "Bacterial small subunit ribosomal RNA", at positions 338 to 795 of the family's 1533-position model. The record is from RNAcentral.